Molecule: unclassified non-coding RNA, 306 nt
Filed under: plant metagenome
Description: partial contains 5.8S ribosomal RNA, internal transcribed spacer 2, and large subunit ribosomal RNA
Rfam family: 5.8S ribosomal RNA (bases 1-105)
Source: RNAcentral
GUAAUGCGAUAAGUAGUGUGAAUUGCAGAAUUCAGUGAAUCAUCGAAUCUUUGAACGCAUAUUGCGCCCCUUGGUAUUCCAUGGGGCAUGCCUGUUCGAGCGUCAUCUACACCCUCAAGCUCUGCUUGGUGUUGGGCGUCUUUGUCCCGCCUCCGCGCGCGGACUCGCCCCAAAUUCAUUGGCAGCGGUCCUUGCCUCCUCUCGCGCAGCACAUUGCGCUUCUCGAGGUGUUGCGGCCCGCGUCCAGAAAGCAAUCGUUACCGUCUUUGACCUCGGAUCAGGUAGGGAUACCCGCUGAACUUAAGC